UGUCACUGGAUCAAAUAAAAUCAACUUAGAAAAGAGUAUGGCUAUAGCAGAGAAGAGGGUCUUGAACUGAUAAAUGUUACCCAGAAACUUCCAACAUUUCUAUUGGACCCAAGGGAGAGAAACAAGCAACAGAUACUUACAGAGGAGCAUCUAAUUCACUAGGAAGAAAACCUAAAAGAGAAUGUGUCAUGACAGAAACGAAAACUAGACUGCACUUCAGGAUGGAGGGAGCAGACAGUUGCAUCGAAUGCUGUUGCUCACUUUGCGGAAGGCCAGAUACCAUGUUGGAGGUGCCUUAAGAAGAGCUGCACAUGGCAAGCCACUGUGGGAGGCCCCAUCAACCACCCAGCAAAGAAAUAAGACCCUCAGUCCAAAAACCAGGGAUAACUCAAUCCUGCCAACAACCACAGACUGGGAUUAAUUGGUCGUGUGCACCCUGGCAUUCUCAAGGCCAAGAACAAUUCCUGACAUAUUGCUGGCACCCAAUAACAUAUGUUCAAUGAAUAAUUAAUCCUCCAACAACUAUCAGAGAUGAGGGUCAAAGAGGAGAUCUGAAGUCUCAUUUUGUCACUAUUCUGAGACGCUAAGAAGGUGUCAUAGAUGGAAGACUCUGUUCUGCUCCUAGAUCUUACUGUUCCCAUUAGCCCAACCCACCCCAUCUGCUUCACGACCCUGACUCCUCUUUCUACAGGAUGAACUGCCUCUGCCCUGGUGAGUUCUCAAUUCCAGGAGAGCCUAAAUGUCCUGCUAGAGCUUGCCAUUCUGAUGAGAAGCUAUUGGUCCUCAGAGGCUCACACACUCAGGCUUAAAGGGAAAACUUGUCACAAACUUUGGAAUUGCCUCAGCACUAGAUUAAAAAUCAAGAGGAGU
This is a non-coding RNA of Macaca mulatta (Rhesus monkey), 870 nucleotides long. NCBI's taxonomy places the organism in Eukaryota, Metazoa, Chordata, Mammalia, Primates, Cercopithecidae. The record is from RefSeq and is a predicted model, not a curated record.